Molecule: transfer-messenger RNA, 348 nt
Filed under: Peptostreptococcaceae
Lineage: Bacteria; Bacillati; Bacillota; Clostridia; Peptostreptococcales
Also listed under: 1 other name
Description: Romboutsia_B maritimum Standard tmRNA
Rfam family: transfer-messenger RNA
About the family: Bacterial tmRNA, also known as 10Sa RNA or SsrA, is named for its dual tRNA and mRNA-like properties. Its role is to liberate the mRNA from a stalled ribosome. To accomplish this part of the tmRNA is used as a reading frame that ends in a translation stop signal.
Source: RNAcentral
GGGGGCGUAAAGGUUUCGACGUGGGUUUGGCACUUGAGGCUGCGUGUCGUGUUACUCUGGGUCACGUAAAAACUGGGGAAAACAAUAAACGCAAACGAUAAUUACGCUUUAGCAGCUUAAUGCUGCUCGACCCGCCGAGCCCUCCUGCCGGUUAGGCCUGGUCGUCAUUUAUGCAGGGAACUACUUUUAUGGGUGUCUCGACUAAAAGUGGAUUAAUUGGGGCUGGUCAAUCAUAAAGCCUGCCACUGGGCGAUAUGAUUGAUGAGAUUCUAAAUCAGUUGGCUACACACGUAGAUGCAACAAGGAAAAGACUUGCGGACAGGGGUUCGACUCCCCUCGUCUCCACCA